AAUCAAUACAGUAGGGCACAGUUCGACAUUGUUCAUUUUCUGAUAAACUUCCUGCUUUUUUAAAACCAAAAAUACAGAUUGAGCGAAAAGACGUGCGAACACCAAAAGAUGUGCCUAUUAUUAUCAGGAUGGACAACAGUUUAACCUUUUGAUAACGCAGUCAUGCCAAGGAAGAGAUUAGCAUGAAAUCAGCAGUGUUCAUCGUUGUCUUCGACACUAUGGUGACAACAAUUAAUACAUAUCUUCGAAAAUGCAUUUUGCCAAUCCUGGUGCAACCUGAGCUUACAAAGUUUAAAUCUUACUGUCAGUAUGGACAUUGUGUAGAUGAUAAUAUGGACAAUAUAUUGUGUUUCGAUUGACUUUUUUUUUGAACAGAUAAAGUGUUUUAUUCCAGACUUAACAUGUCAUUUUUAGCGAGGCUGUUUUCGGAGAAAACCCGAGCUAUUGUCAUAGCCAGCGCGUUCGCCGUCCACAGUAGGCGUCGUGCUUAAACCUUAGAAUUGGCUCUAAAAUUAAAGUGCUUCCACCUACAACUUUGAAACUUCAUGUGUAGAUGCAUCUUGAUGAGUUCUACACGCCCCCCCCCCCAUUUUUGGAUCACUAGGUCAAAGGUUAAGGUCAAUGUGACCUCUAAUAUCAAACUUUAACAUAGGUUCUAAAAUCAAAGUGCUUCCCCCUAUAUUUUUGAAACUUCAUAUGUAGUUGCACCUUAAUGAGUUCUACAUGCCACACCCAUUUUUAGGUCACUAGGUCAAAGGUCAAGGUCACUCUGACCUCUUAUAUCAAACUUUAACAUAGGUUCUAAAAUCAAAGUGCUUCCACCUACAACUUUGAAACUUCAUAUGUAGAUGCACCUUGAUGAGUCAUACACGCCACACCCAUAUGGGUCACUAGGUCAAAGGUCAAGGUCACUUUGACCUCUAAAAGAAUGAUGACAAGAUUUCGCAGCCGAGCGUGGCACGCGUUAUGCGGUGCUUUUGUUCAUCAAGGAAUAACAAAAAUACAAUUUUAUUGAUAUGCACGAAUUUGUAGUAAAUAAUAUUAACAAUGUGUAUCUUAUGUUUUUUUUUUAACUGUCUGUCAUCCAUAAGUAAACAUAUUAAGCAUGUUAAGUAUGUUUAGGGAAUAUAAUGUAUACAUUUUUGUUGUUUCUGCAAACUUAGUCAGAUAGAUGAAAAUCUGUUGUAGUUCAUAUUGACAUCAAGAUAUGUGAUGUUAAUAUUUGUAGUCAUAUUAUGUAUACAUGUAUAUUAUUUUUACCGGUAAACAAAAAUUAAGAAGUGUAACGUUCAAUCUAUGAAGUUGUGUGCCAAAUAUGUCUUGCUGAUUGCAAUAAUUUUGUUUAAGUUAAAUAUCUUGUUUUUGAACCUCUACCUGUGAAAUGAGUGAAUUUUGUUUUCUAUCUACACUUAUACUAAGUUUAAUUAUAUAUUAACUAUAAAUAUAUUGUUGAUAACACAUUGCAUGUAUAUGCAAUUGAAAAUGUACUGUUUCCAUAGCAACUGUAAAGUAACUAAAUUAAAUUUGUCUAAUUAAUUUUAUCAAUUGUUGAAUAAACUAGAAUUGCUAAUAAAAAAAAAUGUCUGACAGUAUAAAUACACAACACAAAUUGUAUCAUGAGCCGUCAUUUAUUUUAGUUUCAAAUUUGUAGCUAUACAAACUGGUCAAAUGCUGAAUACACACCUAUUUCAAGAAAAUGUGCAAACAUUUUUUUUAUAAACAUAUUUAUGAUGUUCCAUACCUGUCUAGGGAUUUUUAUUUUAUUUUGCUGUUAUGAUUUUGUCUUAAAUUCUUUAAAAUGGUAAUAAAUAUUUUGCUGUUA
Long non-coding RNA from Dreissena polymorpha, 1822 nucleotides. RefSeq lists it as uncharacterized. The record is from RefSeq and is a predicted model, not a curated record. The transcript is spliced from 4 exons. NCBI's taxonomy places the organism in Eukaryota, Metazoa, Mollusca, Bivalvia, Myida, Dreissenidae.